Molecule: long non-coding RNA, 11392 nt
Filed under: Homo sapiens (human)
Lineage: Eukaryota; Metazoa; Chordata; Mammalia; Primates; Hominidae
Description: long independently transcribed non-coding RNA 3080 (LINC03080)
Source: RNAcentral
CUUCACAGUUUCUGCGGUAAUGCUAAGGCCCGCGCCCCUCAGCUGCCAGCGCUGCGUGUUUUAGUAGCUGCAGGGAGGAAGAAUCGAGAUGGCUUCAGCAAAGCCCUCCACUUUGCUUGGGAGAAGGGGGCGUUUGUGGGCAGGGCAUUGCAUGGGAAACUGCAAUGUGCACUUGUUUGACCUGGAUCCCUGGUUCAAAUGCAUCCCCUGGUCCCUGCAGGUCCGGGGUGGGGCUGGAGCUUUUGUGUGUCUCAUCAGCUCCCAGGUGAGGCGUGAGGGCGCAGGGACGAGCACAGAGGAGGUCGGGAGCCCCGGGCUGGUGGGGGCGGCUUGCCCAGGUCUCGCUGGGCAGCUCGGAGCAGGUCCUGCCACCAAUCUAGGGGUCCAGUCUCAAGAUGUCCCAGGUUGUGGUAAGGACCCGAAAGGGAGGUGCACCGGCUUCUAGCCCAGGGCAGACCCUGUCAGGGGGGCUUCUAGGAGCGACGGGGAUGCCAGCGUCCGCCCUUCCAGCCCUGCUGGGAAAGCGUCACCGUGUUCUGAAGAAAGCAUCCUUUUUGUUCAUUCCAGAAACAUUUAUCGAGUGCCUAUGGCAUGUCAGGCACAGUUCAAGUUCUGAGGAUACAGAGUAAACAACAGGCAACAUCACGCCUCCUCGAGCUUCUGUUCUACUGGGAGUCAGGGUAGGAAGAGACGACAACAAGGUAAAUAAGUCAAAUCCGGACUGUGUUACUGACAAUGCAAGCUAGGAGAAAAAAGGAAGCAGGAGCAGAGAGGAGCCUGGGUGAUGAUGGAGAUGGGGAGUUUACUUAAAUAGGUGGCCAUGAGGCUAUCCAGCCUGUCCCAGGCGGACUUUUAGAAGACGGAUUGUUUAUAAGAGCCCAAAAGUAUAAGUUCUUAAAAAAAAUUAAUUUCUGAAUGUGUGAUGAGAACACAAAUUCCUCCACGACAGCCCUGUUUUUCCUGUGCUGCGUAGCUGAGCUCUGGGUCACGGCUGCCGAGUGCAGGCAACACUCGGGCAGUCCCAGGGCUGACCGACUGCGCAUCUGGACACUGGCAAUCACAGGGAAGGAGGCGAGAGCUCUGCCGGGUGCUUUGAGGCUGUCGCGUCAUGUCUUCCUCCCCACAGCGUUCUGCGGGGCCUGUCCCCUUGGUGUUGUGGCACCUCCUGGUCCUCGGCUCUGCUCUUGGGGAAGAAAGAGGACACUGUCACAGGUUCCUGUCCCCUCCAGCCAACAGGAGCAGCCACACGUGGCAUCUGCCCUCGAAGCUCUGUGGCAUCCCUGCCGUAGGAGAAGUUACCAAGAAACCCCCAGAGCCCACAGGCUGGAGCCCCCCCAGGUUCUGCUCAGCGGGGAGAGGCAGAUUGAGUCCAAAUUUUCCAUUUUAACUGGAAUCCUAGGGGUUAAACCUGGCUGUGACUUGGCAAUGGCCCCUUGUCCGUGCUGUUCCACAGGGGGUGUCCCCCUUCCCCAGGCCCUGCCCCAAUGUGGCUCCAGGGCCUCUGCUCCCAGCAGGUCUCACCUGGGACAGAGGUGGGGGUGGGGCAAGAGGAACCAAGCCAGGAAGCUGCAGAAAUAGCUCUGGGGGUGGGAGGGCGUGGUGCUGCCGAAGGCCGAACACCCACGCAGGGUGUUGUCUCUCCACCCUCCCAGGCCGAGGGGAUUUCUCAAACGCAGGCCUCCUUCCCAGGAGGUAGGCCUGUGUCCAGUGAGGGCCCUGCCCAUCCAGGCCUCUGUUUCCUGUCACUGUUCUCAAAAGCUGGGCCCAGCUGUGGCGGGGACAGCUAUGUCCGGCUGCCCGUGGUCCCUUGAGAACCGGCCAGGCUGCCCCUGUGCCUGGCACAUGCUCACCUGGACCCUCCAGCCAGCAUCUGGGCUCCAUCUGACCCCACCCCACAGGGCUCAAGCCAGCUCCAAGCAUGAGUGUGGCCGAGGCCAGGUCUGUCUUCAGGGUCCCUUCCUCAUCUCCACGGCCUUUUCCUGUCCCAGCUCACCCACAGGGGGCCAUUUCUGCCCCACACAGGACUCCCUGUGAACCAAGGCUGCACAUGCUUCUGGGUGCCCCUCUCUGGGCAGCUGGAGGGCAGAAGGAGCACCUGGCAGGUGGGUCCCAGGCCCGGCAGCAGGAGCUGCCUGCCAGACAGGACCAGAGGGGAUGGCAGUCCGCUCGGGUGAGGGGUCCACAGGCAGAGGGCGUGGGGGGCUAGGAGGUCUGGGGGCCUCUGGGGAAAGGGGGCCCCAGAAACCAAUGGGAAUUAUGGGAUCUCCUCAAAGAACAUGCUGGAGCAAGGCUCAGCUGCCCACUGCUGCCCCAAAAAGGCUCAGCUGCCCACUGCUGCCCCAACGGGAGUCACUGCUCACACAGAGACCGCUCCUUCCCCAGCCACUCCAGCCAGUGACUGGAUACGGUGCAGGCACUAGUCCCUAGAACCAGGCCAUUCCUGACCCACCAACUGCCCUGUAUGCAGGCCUCUCUCUGGGGCUUCUCAUCAGCCUAGCAGCACGGCUUUCUCAGGGCUUCCCUGGGUACGCACGUCCUCCUACCCAAUCCCCCUUCCCUCUCUCCCUGUCCCAGGUUCAGACCUGCAUCCUGGCUCGAGGCUGUCUCCCCAUCUGCCACAGGUGCUUCCCCCAACGGAUCUCUUGCCCCUCUCCUCCUGGCUUGGGGUCUGCUCACUGGAGGACCUGGAUGGACAUGACAGGGCUCAGACAGGACUUGGGAGGAGCUGUGAGCUCGCCAUCAGGGCCAGCCUUGAAGGACGGGUGUGGGCGUGUCCCCCAUCAGGAUCCCGCUGUGGGUCUCCUUCCUGCUGUGGGGGCUGAUGAAAGAUGCAGGCCAGACACCUGCACAUCUUUACCCUGUGCUCAGCAGCACCCCCUGACAGGGCACCCUCCCCACUACAUCCCCAUUCCAUUCCAAAGGAAGAGACCCUGAGGGUCUGGAAUGAAGAACCCCUUACCCCAGGUCAAACUGAUGUUGCUGGAAUCUUUGGUUGGGUCUCGACAUUACCCCAUAUGGGCAACAGAGAAGGACUGCCGAGAGCUGGGCAAGGCCCCAUGCCUGCUCCUCCUGCUUGUGCUCUCUAGAUCAGAGACCCUCCCAACCUCUCCCGUAGGGGCCUGACUCCUCCCUGGUAUGUCACCUUUGCUUGAUCUAGGCCUCUGGAGGGGCGGCAGCCUGUCUCCCCGCACCAGCUGGGGUUCUGGCCCUGGUGGUUGCUCACCACACCUCCGGGGGCUGCCACGCGGGGUCAUGUUGGUACCAAGGUUCUCUGUGGGGUGCAGGGAUGACCACUGGAGAAAAGGCCAGCCCUGCCUUCCGCUGCUGCCUCAGGCUGGUCCCCGUGCCUCGCUCAGGCGGGCCAGUGACCCUCCUCACCAGCCAUGGCUUCUCUUGUGACAGGCCCAACGGCAGGCCAGGUCCUGAACCCCGCAGGGAGGCCGGCCUAUCAGGUCUUCACAUGGCUGGGGGCACAGCCAGCCACCAGCAUCCUUGUGCUGUCCCCAUGGGGAAGAGAAGGGAACGAUGUGUUCAUAGACGCCAGGGCAAGUGGGCACGGGCAGCGCACGGAGGAAAAAGUGACUCCAAUCAGAAGGGGAGUGGGUCUUGGCAAUACACGUCUGGGUGGUCAGUCCCCAGAGGUGGGCACUGGGCUGAGCUCUCUCUCAUCCGACGCCACCCCUGGGUGACCUCCGUUACAUUUCCUAACCUCUUUGUGUGCCAAUCGCCUCGUCUGGAAAAAUGGGAAUGGAGGAGAGUUGUACCUACCCAGGGUGGUUCUGUGGGCAUUUAAAGAGCAACUUCAUGUGAGACGUGGAGUCCAUGUGUGGCCCAUGGUGGGCUCCAGGAAAUGUUGGUGAUGACAGGGAUGAGGGAGCAACUGAGAGCCGGCAGUGAGGUGACACACCCAAGGUCACGCCACCAGCAGAGGUAGCUGGUCACGCUGCUGAGAGCCGGCAGGAAAUAGAUGCGGACAAAGCAGGGUCGGUUUUCAGCUUCUCUCCACGGAAAGGCCGGCUGAAGUUUCCCUCACCACGCAGAAAUCGAUAAGCAGGAGGUUUUUAAAAACCACCUCCCCAUUGAACCUGCCACUGCCGGAGCUGAAGGCUGUGCGUUUUGUGGUCCGCUCUGCCCCAGGGCCACUUAGGGUGCGUCCACGCUGGGUGUGCCAGGCAUGCACGUGGGCUGCAGACGCCCAGGAGGCAGAGCCGAGCCUGCCAAGGUUAUGCGUGCACCUCUCAGCUCCCUGCUUAACACUGCGUUCCCGGGAGAGAGAUUUCUCCCUGGCUGCUUCACAUCCAGAGGAGAACAUCAGCUCUCAGCAGAACAUAAGGCAAGUGUGAAAACAACUUUUUAUCUUUUAAAAUUUUUGUUUAUAUUUAUGUAUUUAUUUUUUGAAAUGGAGUUUCGCUCCUGCUGCCCAGGCGGGAGUGCAAUGGCGCCAUCUCAGCUCACCACAACCUCUGCCUCUCAGGUUCAAGCAAUUCUCCUGCCUCAGCCUCCCGAGUAGCUGGGAUUACAGGCAUGCACCACCACACCCGGCUACUUUUGUAGCUUUAGUAGAGACAGGGUUUCUCCAUGUUGAGGCUGGUCUCGAACUCCUGGCCUCAGGUGAUCCGCCCGCCUCAGCCUCCCAAAGUGCUGGGAUUACAGGUGUGAGCCACUGCACCCGGUGAAAACAGCUUUUUAUGCCAACUGGGGCUCACUUCCAGGGGAGGCCUUUCCUGGAGGCCCCCAUUCACUGCAAUUCCUCAGCCUGGCUUGGAGUCAUACCAUCCCUCCUAUCAAGAAACAUUGCAUCUGCAGCGAUCCCCCAGAGUGAGUGGCUGGGGGGCUGCGGGAGGAGCAGGGGAGGUGCUGGAACACGUCAGGUCAUCAGCAGUGUUGCUGAAAAGCUUGGCCAGGAAACCCAGAUCAGCCACCAAGAACCUGAGGGCCAGCACAUGGGAAGAAGAAAAAUAAGGUGGUUUUUCUGGGAUUUUUGGGAAUAUUUGGGCCUCGACCCUGCCAGGAUAGGUUAGGUGGUGCAAUGGUCACAAGCCCCAAGUCUUUGUGGCUGAUAGCAACAGAAGCUUCUUUCUUGCCCACAGUAAGCAUCCGUCGUGGUUGGCAGGAGACUGAUCGUGGUCAUCUAUCCAGGACUGGGUUGACAGGAAGCCACCAUCUUAGACUGUCAGCUUCCAUUUCAGAGGGAAGGAGCCCUGUGGACGUUCUCACACCAGCAUUCAGAAGCUCUUGCUGGGAAGUGUCACAAGUCACCUGUGCUCCCUGGCUAGGAGUAGUCCGUUGGCCACCCAAACACCUGGGGGCUGGCCAGGAAGGCAGUCACACAGGGGCCCACCAUGGGUCUGCCCAGUUCUCAGGCACCAGACCACACCCAAGCAGGACCCCUCCUCCCCUGCUUCCCCCUCCUGUCCCCACCAAAGCCACAUGGCAGGCAGAUCACAUGUCACAGAGCUCAGGGCCAGGCCUGCCCAGAUCCUGAGGCUGGGCCACCCCUGAGAGCUUCCUAUGUGAGAUGUCCACUUUUUUACAUUUAAAUUUUACUUUUAAAAUUCUAAAUUGAUAAAUUACAGUUGUAUGUAUUUAUGGGUACAAAGUGAUGUGAUGACUGAUGAAUACAACGUAGAAAAUUAAAUCAAGUAAUUAACAUAUCCAUCCCCUCACAUACUCAUCACUUGUUGUGGUAAGGACAUUUGAAAUUUACUCUCCUGGUGAUUUUGGAAUGUACAAUACAUUAUUACUUACAUAUUUACCACACUGUGCAAUGUAUCUCAAAGAAAAGAAAACUUAUGGUGCACACCUGUAAUCCCAGCCUUACAGGAGGACAAGCGCAGGAGGAUCCUUUGAGCCCAGGAGAUUGAGACCAGCCCGCGCAACACAGCGAGACCCCAUUUCCUAAAAACAAAAACAAAACAUAUAUUGCUCCUGCCUAACUGAGACCCUGUGCCCUUUGACUGUCAUCUCCUCACUCCCCUCACCAGCUCUCCCACAGCCUCUGGCACCAUUCUGCUCUCUGCCUCUUUAAGUUUGAUUGUUUUCCAUCCCACAUACAAGUGAGAACCUGCGGUAUUUGUCUUUCUGUGCCUGGCUUAUUUCACUCAGCAUAAUGUCCUCCAAUUCCAUCUAUCUUGUCACAAAUGACAGAACUUCUUUCUUUUUUACAGCUGAAUAGUAUACCACUGUGUGUAUACACCAUACUUUAUCCAUUCAACCGUUGUUGGAUGAUUAGGUUGAUUCCGUAACUUUCGAAUAGUGCUGCAGUGAGCAUGGGCAUGCAGACCACAUGUCUGCUUUUGAUCUUUUGAACAAGGACUCAGACCCCAGUGACUCACACAUUUUCUUAUUAAAAAAAAAGUAUACGUAUAAAUUAUAUAUGUGUACAUAUAUGAUAUAUACAUAUGUUAUGUGACCAUAUCUAUACACACAUGUAUAUACACACAUACAGCAAGGGUCUCCAAAGACUUCAAACUAUAUGUAUGUAUAUAUAUAGAUAGAUGUGCACACCACUGCACCCGGCCAACUUUUGUGGUUUUUUUUUAGUACAGAGGGGGUUUCGCCAUGUUGGCCAGGCUGGCCUCGAACUCCUGACCUCAGGUGAUCUGCCCACCUCGGCCUCCCAAAGUGCUGGGAUUACAGGCAUGCACCACCACGCGCAGCCUAACUAUCUAUCUAUAUAUAUAUAUACGUAUAGAUAGAUGGACAGAUGUUCCUUGCAGCUUUCCUUUGGAGAUGGCUUACAGCUCUGGAGAGAACCCGGGGUCCCAGCACCUUUGCCAUUAUAACCCAUGAGACCUAAGGGUCAGCGAAGGGGCAAAGAGGUCCUGGAAACCAUCUUGCAUCAGUAUAGUCCCUCAUCAGAGGAAUAAAGUGGAGCCUCAGGAGGUAAAGGACGGCUGGUGUCACCAGCUAGAUCAGGGAUGUGUUGACUCCCAUUCCAUCGGAGGGAUCUGGGACCCUGCAAGUGACGCUGAGGCGUGGUCCUGCAGCAUUCCCGGGUCCCCCUGGAUUGCUGCACCGUGUCUCAGCCUGAACUGGACCACCUCUGCUCACACUGCAUGCAUGUUACUGCCUGUGACCGGAAGCACUCUAGUCGGGUUGCCCAUCCCCUCACAUACUCAUCAGCUUUAUUUCUUGCCACUUGCAAGAAAGUGAGAGCCCGAAGAGUAAUGCCCAGGCAGUAAGAGAGGCGAAGCAUCUGAUAGAGCCUUCUUCCCACUUUUAUCUAAUCCGAUCCAUUUUCAGUAGCUUUUCUGCAUAAGAGAGCCUCUUCACAUGGACAUCCAUGCAUCCACCCACGCGUCCACCCACGCGUCCACCCACGCGUCCACCCACGCGUCUACCCAUGCGUCCACCCAGUCGUUCAAAACACAUUUUCCUUUCCUUCUAGUUUACUGAGCACCUACUCUAUGUCAGGUGCUAUAUUCACCAGCUUACAGUAGAAUGAUGACCAAGUGAAGAUGUUGGCCCUAAGGAAAAUAAGUGGCUGCUCUUUGAUUCUUCCAGGGAGCAGAUUUUGAUUAGAGAAAGGAGUCCAAAUAGUACAAGGCAGGAAAGACGGGAGGGGCACAGAACAGUGAGGUUGAGGCUGCAGAGAGUGGGGAGGUGGUUGCUAAAAGACUCUUCACUUACAAUUCACGCAGCAAAACUGACCACCUGCCAAACUCCAUCCGGGGAGAGGUCUGGGUGCAGAGACCCCCAAAUAGCCUAGGCAGACAGGUGUGGGGCCACCCUCAGUGCAAGGCGAGGGCUUGUGGGGUCCUUCCAGAGGUUGCUGAAGGUGAUGAGCUGCCAUGAAAGAUGGUAACGUCUUUCCCGUAGGCACAAGAGGAGAAAACAGUGCGUGGUGCAUAGAGACCUUUGCAGUGCAGAAGGGGUUAUUAUUAUUACAAGCCAGAUGUGCCCCACUUGUUACUGAAUCAUCGGGUUGACUCUAAGUUUUAAAAUCCAAUUUCCAGGCCCUCUUCACCUGCCAGCUGGGCAACAGCAGUUACUCUCAUUGGAGACCCUUUCCCUUCGCCACUUCCCAGGCUACUCCAGACUGAAUGCAUUCAGGGAGUCACCUCCCAGGUCAAAACCUGCUGUGAUACCAUCACCCUGCAGCACAGACCACAGUCCCAAGCCUCCCAUUCUUGACUCUAACACCAGCCCAGCCUGACCUGCUGCAGGGUGUGGCCUGUGACCACAUCUGUGCUCCGUCCACGCUGCUUCGUCCAGCCUCCCACGCCGAUCCCCAGAGUAGCUCCCCGGGAUGCUCUCUCCUCAUCACUGCAUCUGCCGCCCGCCCAGGCCCUCUGACUUUACCCUCCCGCAGGCCCCUCCCGUCUGAGGUGCUCUGGAAUGCCUGUGGUGUGAUUGUGCAUGAACUUUUACGUGCCUGCGUCCAUGCUCGAGAGCGGUCUUGCCUGAACCACCUUGUCUCAAUAAUCAGCAUGAAACUCCUCAAAAGAAACAGAGAGGCCCCUCAGAACAUCACGGAAAAGACGAUGGCUCCAAAACAGCUAGAUUCUAAUCCCAGCUCUGCUGCGGGGCGCGGCCUCGGGCACACCUGUGCUCCGUGCAUGUGACGUGACUCUCAAAAGCAUCCAUUUCCUCAUCUGGAAAACGGGACAGUUCCUGGACUCUGCGCACCUGGAAGUGACCAUGAGGGUCAAAUGUUUCUCAAACUGCAAAUGCUUUUCAGAUGCUGGCGCCGUGACCAAAGACCUGGCUCUUACAUCUGCUCUGUUUUCAUGGGACACAGCCCUGGGUAUACAGUAGGUGCUUAAUGCAGGUGACCGUGAGGAAGGGCUGUGGCCCGUGGAGGGCAGGCAGGUGGGAUUCAGCUGAGGUCCUCAAAGGCUGCACUAUGGGAAAGGCUGAGCGGCAGGAAAGGGACAGACAGGCCCUCCUCCUGGGGCCCAGGGCUGGGAACCAGAGCCCCUCCUUUGGCCACUCUGAGGUGGAAGAACAAGGAGCACAUAGGAGGAGUGGCCCAGGCUCUCCACCUGAGGACAUUCGGAGGACCUAGAAGCACUGGCAGAGCCUGAACGUGGCACCGUAGCCUCCUGCUGGCUGGAGAUGUGUCUGGGCGGUGUGUCUUGGCAUGGAAUCCACAGCCAGCUAGCCUGAGGCGGGGAUGGGGCCAGGACCCCCGGCUGUACAGACGGAGAGCCAGAGGCGGUUGCAGGUUCCCAACCGACAGCGGAGCUGAUGAGUGGCGGGGCUUUCAUUUGUUGACAGGAGAUGCAUGUCUGAGGCCAGAGCCAACUUCUUCCAGGGAGCGGCUUCCUUCCUCCUCAAAGGACACAGGGGACACAGAUGUCCAGGAGGCUGUUUAGAGAGGGCCCGAGUGGUGAGCUGUGCAGGGGUCCUCACGCCCCGGCCCCGUCUUGGAUAUGGGGCUGGAGACUUAGGAAGUGAGUGCUGGGUCCUGGGGUUCCCUCAUCCGCCUUCAGGAAGAUGUGAAGGGGCUUCCUGCGGCCUUUGGCAGCAUUCAUCCCAAACCCCAAAGCCUCCUUCCCCUGGCUCCGUGGCAGGAGCAGUUGCAUUCUCCUGUCUGAGAGGGGCCACCUCCUUCCCACCUUGCCCUCUAAGUUGGCUCAGGCUGCGCAGGGCUCAGGCUGAGGUCCAGACCCUCAUGCCAGCUUGGUGCUUGGCCAGAGCUGCAAAAUUGGAGCUGGGCUGCCAGGGGGAGGGCACCGCUGAGGCCUUCUAGGCCCAGACGGGCUGAGAGAGCCCCCGCCCCCCACCCCAGCCUCACCCUCCACCCGAGGCCCCUGUCAUGGGUGUGGGUGACUCAGAGGAAGUUCUGGUUUCUGUCAGAUUUUGAGGCUGAGGCAACCUGAUCCUGAAACAAUGACAAGCCUCAGAACGGUCCUUCCCACUCCCUCAGAGGAGCGUUUCAGGCCUGGCCAAUAACACAGCAGAACGGAAAAUGACUUUGGGAAGGAAAGGUCAGGCGGCUAGGCCUCCCAUGGAAGGCAGCAGGCGGUUGCUCAGGUCAGAGGGCCAAGUGGCGCGGUCUGUGGGCACCGGCAGCUGGCAGUGACCCUGCAGAUCAACCUGGGCCCGGGCUGCAGACACCAAGCAGGGGCACCUGCCUGGCCUGGCUGCCUCAUGUGGCCCCCACAGCCUUUGUCAGGACACCUCAGGACAGUGGCCUGGCCUCUAGGCCAGUGGGCCAGCUCGGGGUGCUAAAGCCUAAUUUGCCUGGAGCCCCGGGCCACUCAUAGAUUCAGGAGGAAGAGGUGGGGUAGAGGUGGCAGAGGGAGAGCAGAGCCUGGCACACAGCAUUUGGCACCAUAACUGAGGCAGCUGCUUUCCUUAAGGAGCUGCCACUGACAGGAUCAGCACUUACAGAGCCCCUGCUGUAUGCCAGGAAGUACAUUUAUUAUUGCUUCUUGUCACAUUGGCCCUGCCAGGUAUGUACCCCAAACAUUAGCCUCAUUUCACAGAUAAGAAAAUUGAGGCUUCCGUGAUUAAGCAGAGGCUGUGAUGUCCCAUCCAGAGCCCCAGCCACCCAGCUCUCCUGCAGGACAGGAGAUACCUACUAGCCUGCUUCUCGAUUAUUCUUUUCUUCCCUGCCACCUUGGGAAUAUCCCUCCCACUUGCAAGCACAGGUCGGCUAUGCCAGGGGAGUCUGUGCCCCAGGGCCCCUUCAUCCAUGGGGAUGGGAGUCUGUAGAAAUGCUCACCUCCGCCCUCUCCAGUGGGGACAUUGGAGGCCUGUGUCCCACAGUCUCCCUGAGGGCCCAGUGGGUUGAGCCCAUUGCCCGCAGUGGAAACCCCUCAUUCAUGGACCUGUCUCCCUCCCCUGCCUCCCCCUCCACCUCCACCCCUGCCCUGCCCUUCCUCGGAUCACUUCAUGCACCCAAGUCCUCAUUGCAGUCUGCUUGAGGGGGAUCCCACAUGUAGCCAUGCCCCUUCCAGGCAGAGAGAAGCAGCACAGGCCCCUGGCUGAGUGUGCCACGGCGGGUGCAGCAGGAGUGCAAACGCAGAGUUCAACUCGGCAUCCAGCUGGAACCCAUGUUAACUUGCGUUUGACCAGCGUAAGAGAGACAAGAAGAUGAGUAGAACUGUAGCAGUCAAAAUGCUUCAGCUGCAGGUAAUAGGAAGUCCAGCUCAAACCGGUUUAAGCGGAGGCCAGGGGCUGCAGGGUGGGCAUCUCCCAUGGCACCUGCUCUGGUCCCUCAGUCCCCCUGAGUGGUGCACACUUCCCUCCACAAGGUGUGUUGCCGGGUGGCCACGGCUGUCCUGGGCUCGCAUUUGCUCAUGACAGUGUCUGGAGAGCUCCGCCUUUGAGGGCUCUUCCUGGGGCCUCUAACGAGAGAGGACUGGGGGGACCACGACAAAAAAUAUCUGGGUUCUUGAGACAGCAGAAAAGGUGGUGGAAGCUGGGUGAGUAGCCAGAC